GACGGAGGAUGCAAGUGUUAUCCGGAAUCACUGGGCGUAAAGCGUCUGUAGGUGGUUGAAUAAGUCAACUGUUAAAUCUUGAGGCUCAACCUCGAAAUCGCAGUCGAAACUAUUGGACUAGAGUAUAGUAGGGGUAAAGAGAAUUUCCAGUGGAGCGGUGAAAUGCGUAGAGAUUGGAAAGAAUACCGAUGGCGAAGGCACUUUACUGGGCUAUUACUAACACUGAGAGACGAAAGCUAGGGUAGCAAAUGGG
This 253-nucleotide ribosomal RNA is filed under the name uncultured bacterium. RNAcentral describes it as "partial 16S ribosomal RNA". It matches the Rfam family "Bacterial small subunit ribosomal RNA", at positions 524 to 776 of the family's 1533-position model. The record is from RNAcentral.